GAUGAACGCUGGCGGCGUGCCUAAUACAUGCAAGUCGAGCGAACGGACGAGAAGCUUGCUUUUCUGAUGUUAGCGGCGGACGGGUGAGUAACACGUGGAUAACCUACCUAUAAGACUGGGAUAACUUCGGGAAACCGGAGCUAAUACCGGAUAAUAUUUUGAACCGCAUGGUUCAAAAGUGAAAGACGGUCUUGCUGUCACUUAUAGAUGGAUCCGCGCUGCAUUAGCUAGUUGGUAAGGUAACGGCUUACCAAGGCAACGAUGCAUAGCCGACCUGAGAGGGUGAUCGGCCACACUGGAACUGAGACACGGUCCAGACUCCUACGGGAGGCGGCAGUAGGGAAUCUUCCGCAAUAGGCGAAAGCCUGACGGAGCAACGCCGCGUGAGUGAUGAAGGUCUUCGGAUCGUAAAACUCUGUUAUUAGGGAAGAACAUAUGUGUAAGUAACUGUGCACAUCUUGACGGUACCUAAUCAGAAAGCCACGGCUAACUACGUG
RNAcentral lists this ribosomal RNA (497 nucleotides) under uncultured bacterium. RNAcentral describes it as "partial 16S ribosomal RNA". It matches the Rfam family "Bacterial small subunit ribosomal RNA", at positions 28 to 507 of the family's 1533-position model. The record is from RNAcentral.